RNAcentral lists this ribosomal RNA (775 nucleotides) under uncultured bacterium. RNAcentral's name for it is "bacterial SSU rRNA". It matches the Rfam family "Bacterial small subunit ribosomal RNA", at positions 8 to 796 of the family's 1533-position model. The record is from RNAcentral.
AGAGUUUGAUCCUGGCUCAGAACAAACGCUGGCGGCGUGCCUAAUACAUGCAAGUCGAACGGGGAAGUAUCUUCGGAUAUUGUACUAGUGGCGUACGGGUGAGUAACACGUGGAUAAUCUUCCUUCAGGUGGGGAAUAACCAAUCGAAAGAUUGGCUAAUACCGCAUAAGACCACAAUGUCUUCGGACAAAGGGGUUAAAGCCUUCGGGCGCCAGAAGAUGAGUCUGCGUCCCAUUAGCUAGUUGGUGAGGUAAAGGCUUACCAAGGCGACGAUGGGUAGCUGGUCUGAGAGGAUGAUCAGCCACACUGGGACUGAGACACGGCCCAGACUCCUACGGGAGGCAGCAGUAGGGAAUAUUGCACAAUGGACGAAAGUCUGAUGCAGCGACGCCGCGUGAGUGAUGAAGGCCUUCGGGUUGUAAAGCUCUGUUCUCAGGGAAUAAAAAAAUGAAGGUACCUGAGGAGAAAGGACCGGCUAACUUCGUGCCAGCAGCCGCGGUAAUACGAGGGGUCCAAGCGUUGUUCGGAAUCAUUGGGCGUAAAGCGGGUGUAGGUGGCUUUGUAAGUCAGGAGUGAAAGCCCUAGGCUCAACCUAGGAAGUGCUUUUGAUACUGCGAAGCUUGAAUGUGGGAGAGGAUCGUGGAAUUCCAGGUGUAGUGGUGAAAUACGUAGAUAUCUGGAGGAACACCGGUGGCGAAGGCGGCGAUCUGGCCCAACAUUGACACUCAGACCCGAAAGUGCGGGGAUCAAACAGGAUUAGAUACCCUAGUAGUCC